AAGAGAGCGGUGAUUAUAAACAACAAGAUUAAAAAUCCUGAUCUGCUCAGUUUCUGGGCAUGAUAGACUCAUUAUACACCCAUAGAAUAUGAGCUCUC
RNAcentral lists this small nucleolar RNA (98 nucleotides) under Capsella rubella. RNAcentral's name for it is "Small nucleolar RNA snoR8a". It matches the Rfam family "Small nucleolar RNA snoR8a". Lineage: Eukaryota; Viridiplantae; Streptophyta; Magnoliopsida; Brassicales; Brassicaceae. The record is from Rfam by way of RNAcentral.